This 252-nucleotide ribosomal RNA is filed under the name uncultured bacterium. Its description in RNAcentral is "partial 16S ribosomal RNA". It matches the Rfam family "Bacterial small subunit ribosomal RNA", at positions 524 to 776 of the family's 1533-position model. The record is from RNAcentral.
UACGAGGGGGCUAGCGUUGUUCGGAUUUACUGGGCGUAAAGCGCACGUAGGCGGAUCGUUAAGUCGGGGGUGAAAUCCUGGAGCUCAACUCCAGAACUGCCUUCGAUACUGGCGAUCUUGAGUCCGGAAGAGGUGAGUGGAACUCCUAGUGUAGAGGUGGAAUUCGUAGAUAUUAGGAAGAACACCAGUGGCGAAGGCGGCUCACUGGUCCGGUACUGACGCUGAGGUGCGAAAGCGUGGGGAGCAAACAGG